This is a long non-coding RNA of Nicotiana tabacum (common tobacco), 2252 nucleotides long. RefSeq lists it as uncharacterized. Lineage: Eukaryota; Viridiplantae; Streptophyta; Magnoliopsida; Solanales; Solanaceae. The record is from RefSeq and is a predicted model, not a curated record.
UCCGCAAGCUAUUCAAGAGCAAGCCAUUCAAGAGCAAAAUCGUCGGCCAUUUUAUCAACCAAAAAAGUAACCCUCAUAUUAUAUAAUCUCAUUCGUAAGACAUUUAAGAGCAAAAUUGCCGACCACAUUCUCAACCAAAAAACUAGAUAAUUUCUUCAUUUUAGAAAAAGGAACUAUGCAAACUAGAGGUCGCAAUCGACUGGUAAUUAAACAAAAUGAUGAUGAAGAUGUGCGACCUUAUAUUGAGUAAUUGAUGGAUGGUCAAAACUACUUUAGAGCCCAACCAUAUAUUGAGCAAUUGAUGGAUGAUCAGAACUACUCUGAAGUCCAAGCACAUAAUGAUCAAUCUAAUGAGCCGAAUAGUUCUGCUGGUGGCAUUGAGAUUCAACAUAAUGACGAUUAGGUAAUACUUUUUUAGUAUUGCGAUCUGUUGCUUUUAUAGUAUAGAUUAAAGUACAACCCAAAAAAAGAGUUUACUUAAUAUCAAUUGCAUAUUUUCAGAAAUUAAAUUUCUCCUGAUAUCUUUUUAUCAAGUGAAAUUGCUUUAGUACAGUUCUCUUUAACUAGUUGAAAGUCGCAUGUGAAAUUACUCAGUAAAAAAAUUAGACCAUCAAUCACCGAAGAAGUAGUUCUACAUGAUCUUUUACCAUACCAUCCCAAUUAUAAGUAAGCAGCUAGCUAAUGCAAUAGUAUGUAGCCUUAUCAUUCAAUUUUAUUUAUAAGAUCCCUGACACCAACAACGGACAUGAUUGAGUACCACAAACAUCAAGGAUACCUAGUGUUGUUGAAAAUACCCAACCUUCUCAUGGUACUACCCAUCUUUAUCCUUCGGUGCUACUGUUUGAGUUUUCUUUUUUUAUUAAUUUGUUCUAGUAUUUCGGCUUACCUUAGAUGCUUCUUGCUUUUAUAUAUUUUCUUUUUUCACUGUUGUUGAUGUCGUAAGGUUGUGAUAGUAAUGAAUCAUUUUAAAAAUAAUAUUUUUCCAGAUUGUGAUUAUGUGUAAUAUUAUUAUAUCCUUCUUAUGUACACAUAGUGAAAAAAUAUUUAUUUAUUCUGUUAAAUUGACAUCAUUUUAUGUCUUUAAAUCAAUUCAUAUUUGUCUUCUUGAAUUCUUCGGAUGGUUGACAAACCUAUAGCCUUAAACCUGAAAGUUAAUCACAACUUCAGCCAUUUACAACAAGCAGCACCCAUAACUCUAGCACUAGAGAUGGGAACGACUGCACAAGAGCCACCUACAGUUGCAAUGACUGAUAUGUUGGCGUAGAGUUGUAAAUUUAAUAAGUGAUAAUUCCUAACGAGUUUUCCUUUCUGUUGUUAGUGAUGGGAUGAAUGGCUUUAAGAAGCAAGCCGAUGUCAUCUCUUCAAGUGAUUUAAGAGGAUCUUUGUUUUUUCCUCUUGCCAUGUCUUGUGUUGCAUUACAGUAACAUAGGUUCGGUUUGUUACUUUCUAUGACAGCUUGGCCAUUGCUUCUAUCCAAGCUAAGGUUUGUAAAUUGCUUGGUAAUCUUCUGUCUUUGGAAUUAUAAAUAGAUGGUAUCUAACUUCUGAUUUUUAUAUUAACAUUGCAUACUCUAUUUUGAAUCUUGUGCCACUAUUCCUUGGCGAUUUUAGUUAUUCAAAUAAAUAUAAAGAUAAUUGUGACUUUUCUUUUAGUUCCAUAGAUGUUAAGAAAGUUAAAUAGAAUGUUUAAAUAUUGAUUAUCUGAUUUAUGUUUCUUUCUAGAUGCAUAGUGAGUUAUGAAAUGUGUGAGUUGAUUUAAUAAAACCUUUCUGUGUGUUGAGUCUUUGUUGGGUAAGUUUGAACCUCCAACAAUUGCACAAAACAUUUGCAUUUCUUGAGACUAGAUGCUGGUAAAUAUCCUUUUCCGAUAAGUUAAUGUAAAUUUCACUAAAAAUGUACCAAGAAGAUAUAGAAAACAUAUAAAAGUUCUUUUUAAUUCUCCAAGUUAAUACUCUGCUUUUGAUAUUUUUUGUUUCUUCUCUGUCAUACAAAGAAAGAAACUUUCUUCAUUAUUUGCACAUCCAUUUUGCUCGCCUACUAAUCCAUCUAGUUGUUUUUGCUUAUAAAUGUUAGGUGAGUGAGUUGGGUGAAAAACAAUCUGACAGUGAUGGAGUCUUCAAGAUAUUUUUUCACAUUAUAUUUUAUCUUUUGAUAUAGUUAAUUUAUAAUUUCAGGUCAUACAGUCUGAUGUUCGAUAUUUUUGUGGGUGGAAGAUUUCAAUAUAAUGAAAAGUUGUGGAAAUUAUUUGAAGAC